UGUUAACUCUGCUGCUCGGGCUGAUGCUAGCUAACGCUAGCAUGUGAGCGGUUCCUCUAGGGACUGACCUGCUCUGUGCAGCCGGACUACGGGCUGCAUCGCGGCAUCGAGCAGCCUCCUCUGUCGGCAGAUCUCCCGCUCGGACCGCCCCACUCGAUCCUCGUACUCUAACAAGGUUUCCUCAAGCCCCGCGAGGAUCUGUUCCCCCGCCGCCGCGAGCCGCUCGGUGAGCAUCGCUCUCAGCUCCGGGACUUGAUCCUUUCCUCCUCCUUUCUCCACCUGCAGCAGGAAGUCUUCAGCGGCAGCGCUGAUCAGCUCAUGUACCGACACCCGCAGCAGCUGCACGGCGGACAUGUUCCUCCUCUCCUCACUCUGAGUCUCUGAGGGGACAAAGACCAUAUGACAAAGACAGACAGCGACAGGAAACAGAGACUCCGAGCUCCGAGUCAGCAGCGACCCCUGUUGAACUGGAGGACGAAGAGGAAACAAAAGUACUAAUACUGCACAGAAGAAAUACUCUGUUACAAGUACUAAAGUACAAGCAACGAAAUAAACUUAACCAAUCGUGGAAGAAGUAUUCGGAUCAUUCAUUGAGAAGCUGGAACCUCCCACGCUCCUCGUGGAAGUGAACACCUCGACCCGGCUGAUGUGCCUCGCCGUGUGGAAACAUUCAUCGGUGCAGCCGCCCGCUGAGGAACCAGCAGCUGCGGCGACGACAUCCGAAGAACUCGCUCGAGAGCUUUCAAAGACCAAGAGAGUUCGAAUUGUGACGGAAGUAGUCGUUCUGGAAGACGAGAGCAACCAGACAAAGAAGAAGAAAAAGGACGUUGGAAAAUGAAAUGAGCAGCAAUAAAAAAAACAUCUUUCAAAAAUGUAAAUGCACUAUUUUAUAUAUUUGAACUUUUUUCUUUGUUGAACAUGCAGAUACCUGUAAUGGACACUGGGAGGUUGGAUAUUUGUUAGAUAUCAUUAGAUUCCAGUUAUCCAGCCGUCGUCCUGACUAGUCUCACUAAGAGUUACUAUUUAUAUCAGAAGACUCACUAACCCACAUAAAAGGUUUUCUUGAGUGUCCCCAAGUUAAGCGCAGAAACCUGUGUCUGUGUUUGCUCAGGUUCACCUGCAGAUUCUAACUCGUCUGUCGUUCUUUUCAGAAUCAGGUCUGGUUCCUUUCCAGGUUCAAUUCAAUUAAAAAACAAUUAAACAUUAAAAUUAAAAUUUCUACAAUUUCUAGAACUGCAAAGCAGCACUGAACAGGCCCGAACACAUGCAUUUUGAAGAGUGGCAUGUGUUUUACUCAUGCCACUCACGCUUCACUUCCUGCUUCCGUCACGUGAUGUCGAUCCUUGCCUGCUAAUUGCUCAUUAGAUUAAAUAUGUUUGUUUUGAAUCACUGCCCUAUGAUCUGUUGUUUUAUAUAGAACUGUGAUCUACUGAGUCCAGUAUCACACAGAUUGACCAACGGACCCAAACCAUCCCAGUAUAAGCACAUCAAAAUAAUUAUCUUAAAUGUUAUAGAUUGGGGACAUCACAGCUGUCCCUGAAUUUAACAAUCCUGCUGUUUGACAUUUAUCGUCAUCCAUGUCAACGAGGGCUCCUCCGCCAUCGCUGCUUCACUGUCUGUGUGUGUGAGUGUAAUGCUGCGUUCCAGACGACUCGUACUUCAGAUAAUCUGACCUGAAAUGGCCCAGUUCCAACUUCACGUCAAACGUAACAAACAUGUCUGACUGUGAGAAGCUGAUUAAUUUGUCUCGUGAUGAGACAAUUCAACUGUAGCCAGUGCAGCCUCUGUUCAUACAGAAACAAAGAGGAGGAGGACAACGCCAUUAUCUUGUUAUGAGACUUUGAUUCUUGG
This is a long non-coding RNA of Pleuronectes platessa (European plaice), 1851 nucleotides long. RefSeq lists it as uncharacterized. The record is from RefSeq and is a predicted model, not a curated record. The transcript has 3 exons. NCBI's taxonomy places the organism in Eukaryota, Metazoa, Chordata, Actinopteri, Pleuronectiformes, Pleuronectidae.